GGAUUUCUCUGGAUCUCCUUUGCCCACUGGCCUACAUUAUAAAAGUGCUGUAUGCGGACCCUCCCAUUGUCAUCGUGGACACAGGCCAUGACGUCAUCACCACCCUACCAUGAAAAACGAUGAAGGAAAGAGUCAAAGGAGCCUCAAGACAGGGCAGGGGAAAAGAAGAAGAAGGCAGAGCAGCAGCCUGUGCAAAGGUACAGGGGCCCAAGGAAGUCUGGCUCUGGAAGCACCCUGGCACAGUGAGGUGGCAAAUGAUGGUAUCACAGAGGGAAGAGGGAAGAAGACAGCAGAGGCACAGAGAGAAGCAGAGCUUGAACAAAGACAUGCAAGCAACCAUCUUCUACCACACCAAUGAGGACAAAACUUUACUGGAUGGUGGAACAAGAUGGACUGACCUUGUGGAACAGAGCUGUCCCAACUGCCCAGACCAGUCAG
Mirounga angustirostris (Northern elephant seal) is the source of this 438-nucleotide long non-coding RNA. RefSeq lists it as uncharacterized. The record is from RefSeq and is a predicted model, not a curated record. The transcript is spliced from 3 exons. Lineage: Eukaryota; Metazoa; Chordata; Mammalia; Carnivora; Phocidae.